Molecule: ribosomal RNA, 1088 nt
Filed under: Staphylococcus aureus
Lineage: Bacteria; Bacillati; Bacillota; Bacilli; Caryophanales; Staphylococcaceae
Description: partial 23S ribosomal RNA
Rfam family: Bacterial large subunit ribosomal RNA
Source: RNAcentral
CGAAGCGUGCGAUUGGAUUGCACGUCUAAGCAGUAAGGCUGAGUAUUAGGCAAAUCCGGUACUCGUUAAGGCUGAGCUGUGAUGGGGAGAAGACAUUGUGUCUUCGAGUCGUUGAUUUCACACUGCCGAGAAAAGCCUCUAGAUAGAAAAUAGGUGCCCGUACCGCAAACCGACACAGGUAGUCAAGAUGAGAAUUCUAAGGUGAGCGAGCGAACUCUCGUUAAGGAACUCGGCAAAAUGACCCCGUAACUUCGGGAGAAGGGGUGCUCUUUAGGGUUAACGCCCAGAAGAGCCGCAGUGAAUAGGCCCAAGCGACUGUUUAUCAAAAACACAGGUCUCUGCUAAACCGUAAGGUGAUGUAUAGGGGCUGACGCCUGCCCGGUGCUGGAAGGUUAAGAGGAGUGGUUAGCUUCUGCGAAGCUACGAAUCGAAGCCCCAGUAAACGGCGGCCGUAACUAUAACGGUCCUAAGGUAGCGAAAUUCCUUGUCGGGUAAGUUCCGACCCGCACGAAAGGCGUAACGAUUUGGGCACUGUCUCAACGAGAGACUCGGUGAAAUCAUAGUACCUGUGAAGAUGCAGGUUACCCGCGACAGGACGGAAAGACCCCGUGGAGCUUUACUGUAGCCUGAUAUUGAAAUUCGGCACAGCUUGUACAGGAUAGGUAGGAGCCUUUGAAACGUGAGCGCUAGCUUACGUGGAGGCGCUGGUGGGAUACUACCCUAGCUGUGUUGGCUUUCUAACCCGCACCACUUAUCGUGGUGGGAGACAGUGUCAGGCGGGCAGUUUGACUGGGGCGGUCGCCUCCUAAAAGGUAACGGAGGCGCUCAAAGGUUCCCUCAGAAUGGUUGGAAAUCAUUCAUAGAGUGUAAAGGCAUAAGGGAGCUUGACUGCGAGACCUACAAGUCGAGCAGGGUCGAAAGACGGACUUAGUGAUCCGGUGGUUCCGCAUGGAAGGGCCAUCGCUCAACGGAUAAAAGCUACCCCGGGGAUAACAGGCUUAUCUCCCCCAAGAGUUCACAUCGACGGGGAGGUUUGGCACCUCGAUGUCGGCUCAUCGCAUCCUGGGGCUGUAGUCGGUCCCAAGGGU